UCAGGCCUAACACAUGCAAGUCAUACGACGUAUUAUUUAUUUUUAAUAAAUAGUAUUGUAGUGGCGGACGGGUGAGUAACGCGUAAGAACUCACCUCUAGGAGGGGGAUAACAUCUGGGAAACUGGUGCUAAUACCCCAUAUGCUGAGGAGUGAAAAGGUUUAUACCGCCUAGAGAGAGGCUUGCGUCUGAUUAGCUAGUUGGUGAGGGUAAAGGCCUCCCAAGGCUACGAUCAGUAGUUGGUCUGAGAGGAUGAUCAGCCACACUGGGACUGAGACACGGCCCAGACUCCUACGGGAGGCAGCAGUGAGGAAUUUUCCGCAAUGGGCGAAAGCCUGACGGAGCAAUGCCGCGUGGAGGACGAAGGGCCAUGGGUUGUAAACUCCUUUUCUUAGGGAAGAACGAA
Molecule: ribosomal RNA, 405 nt
Filed under: uncultured bacterium
Lineage: Bacteria
Description: bacterial SSU rRNA
Rfam family: Bacterial small subunit ribosomal RNA
Source: RNAcentral